Molecule: ribosomal RNA, 492 nt
Filed under: uncultured bacterium
Lineage: Bacteria
Description: partial 16S ribosomal RNA
Rfam family: Bacterial small subunit ribosomal RNA
Source: RNAcentral
AGUGAACGCUGGCGGUAGGCCUAACACAUGCAAGUCGAACGGCAGCACAGUAAGAGCUUGCUCUUACGGGUGGCGAGUGGCGGACGGGUGAGGAAUACAUCGGAAUCUACUUUUUCGUGGGGGAUAACGUAGGGAAACUUACGCUAAUACCGCAUACGACCUACGGGUGAAAGCAGGGGAUCUUCGGACCUUGCGCGAUUGAAUGAGCCGAUGUCGGAUUAGCUAGUUGGCGGGGUAAAGGCCCACCAAGGCGACGAUCCGUAGCUGGUCUGAGAGGAUGAGCAGCCACACUGGAACGGAGACACGGUCCAGAGUCCUACGGGAGGCAGCAGUGGGGAAUAUUGGACAAUGGGCGCAAGCCUGAUCCAGCCAUACCGCGUGGGUGAAGAAGGCCUUCGGGUUGUAAAGCCCUUUUGUUGGGAAAGAAAAGCAGCAGGUUAAUACCCCGCUGUUCUGACGGUACCCAAAGAAUAAGCACCGGCUAACUUCGUG